GAUGAACGCUGGCGGCGUGCCUAAUACAUGCAAGUAGAACGCUGAAGGAGGAGCUUGCUCUUCUGGAUGAGUUGCGAACGGGUGAGUAACGCGUAGGUAACCUGCCUGGUAGCGGGGGAUAACUAUUGGAAACGAUAGCUAAUACCGCAUGACAACAGUUAUUGCAUGAUAACUGUUUAAAAGGGGCAACUGCUCCACUACCAGAUGGACCUGCGUUGUAUUAGCUAGUUGGUGAGGUAACGGCUCACCAAGGCGACGAUACAUAGCCGACCUGAGAGGGUGAUCGGCCACACUGGGACUGAGACACGGCCCAGACUCCUACGGGAGGCAGCAGUGGGGAAUCUUCGGCAAUGGACGGAAGUCUGACCGAGCAACGCCGCGUGAGUGAAGAAGGUUUUCGGAUCGUAAAGCUCUGUUGUAAGAGAAGAAUGAGUGUGAGAGUGGAAAGUUCACACUGUGACGGUAUCUUACCAGAAAGGGACGGCUAACUACGUG
RNAcentral lists this ribosomal RNA (495 nucleotides) under uncultured bacterium. RNAcentral's name for it is "partial 16S ribosomal RNA". It matches the Rfam family "Bacterial small subunit ribosomal RNA", at positions 28 to 507 of the family's 1533-position model. The record is from RNAcentral.